Molecule: ribosomal RNA, 493 nt
Filed under: uncultured bacterium
Lineage: Bacteria
Description: bacterial SSU rRNA
Rfam family: Bacterial small subunit ribosomal RNA
Source: RNAcentral
AUUGAACGCUGGCGGUAGGCCUAACACAUGCAAGUCGAACGCGAAAGUCCUUCGGGAUGAGUAGAGUGGCGGACGGGUGAGUAACGCGUAGGAAUCUGUCCUGUAGUGGGGGAUAACGUUUCGAAAGGAACGCUAAUACCGCAUACGCCCUACGGGGAAAGCGGGGGAGUCUUCGGACCUCGUGCUAUAGGAGGAGCCUGCGUCGGAUUAGCUAGUUGGUGAGGUAAAGGCUCACCAAGGCGACGAUCCGUAGCUGGUCUGAGAGGAUGAUCAGCCACACCGGAACUGAGACACGGUCCGGACUCCUACGGGAGGCAGCAGUGGGGAAUAUUGCGCAAUGGGCGAAAGCCUGACGCAGCCAUACCGCGUGUGUGAAGAAGGCCCUCGGGUUGUAAAGCACUUUCAGUGGGGAGGGAAAAGCUGGUGGCUAAUACUCACCGGCCGUGACGCUACCCACAGAAGAAGCACCGGUCUAAUUCCGUGCCAGCAGCCG